Molecule: long non-coding RNA, 5041 nt
Organism: Oncorhynchus keta (chum salmon)
Lineage: Eukaryota; Metazoa; Chordata; Actinopteri; Salmoniformes; Salmonidae
Exons: 6
Source: RefSeq, a predicted model, not a curated record
GGCAACUAUCUUCACUGCCAGUCUGCCACCAAGCUUCUUGUCAUAACCUAGUAUCAGGGUGUGAGUGAGAGAACCAUUUUUAUUUAUUUAUUGAAUCAUCAUUAAGCACACCUCAUUAUCAUGCUAAUCAGUUGGUGACCUGUGUGAGGAGGGUUUCCCACAUAAAAGGAUAGUUCAAACUUCCAACUAACAUUUGACUCUCUGUAUCUCAGGAAAUAAGGUUAUCUUGUCCGAUCCCAGUCCGUCUUGCAACUCAAACCACAUUCAGGGCCCCUUUCGCCACCAGUGACAACAUGGCAAUGCCAAUGGAACUUGAGCUGAAGCAUGUGGAGCUGAGAGCUGGAGACCAGUUCAAAGUACAGGGGAGGAUUAUGGAUUAGAAUGAGGUUCCAGAUCGACCUGGGCUGUGAUGAAGAUGACCUGGCACUGCACUUUAACCCACGUUUCAAUGAUGGCACUGUGCUCGUGUGCAACUCAAAGAUUGCCGGCUGCUGGGGGGAUGAGAAGAGAGAGAUCCACAAUCCACUCCAACGGGGUUCUAUAUUCAAGCCAUUAAAUUCAUUGGCCUCAUGGUGAAAUCCCUGAGUGAUUUCCUUCCUCUCCGACAACUGGGUGUGUUGAUACACCAUCCAAAGUGUAAUUACUAACUUCACCAUGCUCAAAGGGAUAUUCAAUGUCUGCUUUGCGAGGCAUUGUAAAAUCUCCCUGGUCUUUGUGGUUGAAUCUGUGCUUGAAAUUCAUUGCUCGACUGAGGGACCGUACAAUUAUCUGUAUGUGUGCAGUAUAGAGAUGGGGUGGUCAUUAAAACAACAUGUUAAACACUAUUAUUGCACACAGAGUGAGUCCAUGCAAAUGAUUAUGUAACUUGAUAAGCACAUUUUUACUCCUGAAUUGAUUUAGGCUUAACAUAACAAAGGGGUUGAAUACUUAGUGACUGAACAUUUCCAAAAACAUAAUUCCACUUUGACAUUAUGGGGUACUGUGUAUAGGCCAGUGACACACAAUUUCAAUUGAAUCCAUUUUAAAUUCAGGCUGUAACACAAGAAAAUAUCAAGUGGUGUGAAUACUUUCUGAAGGCACUGUAAUGUUAGCUGUCAAACUACUCACUUGCGAGUUACAGAUUGAAAACAUUUUCUGUGAUCUCAAUCUAUCUAGCUACCAAUUUUAUGUCUGGUGGGGACGUUUACACCAGGGCAACAAGCCGAUAAGGCAGGUAUAUAAGACAGCUGGAAUUCCUGUUUGUCCAUUACCAAACUGAUGUUCGUAUCUGUGCAGAUGUCAAACUCAUUCCAUAGAGGGCCGAGUGGCUGAGGGUUUUUGCUCCACCCUUGUACUUGAUUGAUGGUUGUCUAGGGUUUAAUUGAAUGGAAAAACCAAAAACGUGCAGACACUAGGCCCUCCAUGAAAUUAGUUUGACAUCCCUGGCAGACUAGUCGAUUCCUCCAGAUUCGUUUUUUGGUACAUAUGUAUUUUUUUGUUAUUACAUUUCUGAUGUCAGAAUGGCCAUAUUCUGCAAAACACACAACACUAAGAUGUUAAAACUAAAAAUUCAAUAUUGAUAGUUUCGGUAAGAUCAAAUUGAUAUUUACUGUUUCAAAGGCAUCUCUAAAUAAUGUUAAUUUAACCAUUCUUCUUUUUGUUUAAAAUGCAAUUUGUACUGCUAUAGUGUUAAAUAUUAAAAUAAAGUCUUAUUCCAAAUGAACCAACUCCCCCACCUCUGUCAUGGUUUAAACAUGUUUUUCCCAUGUGGCUGCACUUGUCGUCCCUGAACAGUCCCUUAUUUCAGCCCCGUUUCAGGUGUCCCAACCUUUCUUUCUACAAAAAAGGUCAUUUUGUCUGCAAGAGGCGUGAAUUAUUUCAGGCUGACCACGAUUCCGGGUAGUAGCUUAAGGUCUUAUUUGGGAUUAGCUGUUUACAUGCACCUUUUGAUAUCCCGCUCACGAGUAUCACUGUACCCAUGAAUAAACAGAAUAUUCCUCAGUUCAUAUGGGUUCAAUGGAAUAGUAACUGAACUAUGGACACUGACAGUAGGCCUAAAACCUCAUGUUGUAUAGUAUAAUAUUAACUUCUGCAAAAGUAUGCAUCUCUUGCAGUAAACUAGUACAAAGAAAUGUCAUUGUCUCGGAAUAGGAGUGGAGAAAUAUUAGUUAUUUCUUUCAGCAUCUCCUGAGAAAAUGCAAAUGUGCAUGUAAUAUGUUAUCUUUGAAACUGUUAUACAAGCAGACAGUAUUUCAACCACAUAAAAUGUGCAUCCAAGACCAACUGAAGUCUUAUCAUAAAUGGGUUUCAUCCUUUUCUCAGCUUAAAACCUGUCAACUGAUGACAUUUGGACAUUUUGCACAGGACCUAUCUUUCCAUAGUUUUGGAGUUAUUGCGUUUUCUUCCCGGUCCCUAAACGAAAUGGACAACUUUACCGGUGUUAACUACAUACUGUAGAUUACAAAUGCAUUCAUUCUAUGCUGUAAGACAUUAUUCCGGUGACCACUACUUUAUUUAAUCUUCUGGAGCGGCAAGUUAUGACAGAAGAGAAGCUGCAACUUGUUGACAAACAACUGGCCUACCAAUUUUCUACAUUUUUAUAUGGCCUACCAAAUGUCAGAAAUUAUAAUCAGAAACUUGUCUAAAUUAGGGGUGAAAAUAGCCAGUAGACAAUAUGGUCCAGUAUGAGAAUCAGCCAAAUAAAUGAUUAUGAAAUGACUGGUGGAUCAAACCUACUUUUUGAAAUUAUUUGUUUGACAAUCAGAUGAAAACAUCACACAACACCCAUGAUAUGUGAAACUGAGUCUGCACAGACCGCAAAAAAAUAACAGUAAAUGGGAUAAGAUGUUUACAUGCCACAGUACUCUGUCUAAGAUUAGCAUAUCCCAGGCAUCUUAUCCAGGUUUUUCAUAACCGGGAUGCAAGCUUUUUGGGUUAUUGUAAACGGGAUAUGCCUCAACACAAAAACAGAAUACUUGUCACGACUUCCGCCGAAGUUGGCUCCCCUGCCUGUCGUCACCGUCCUACUAGCCGCCACCGAUCCCUUUUUCGUUUGUCUGUUUGUUUUGUCUUGUUAGUUUCACCUGUGUUUCUGUUUGGUUUAAUGAGCUUCCCUAUUUUUAGUAGGUGGACCCGCCCUUGCUAUGUGCGGGAUUGUCUCUAUGUUACUUGUGUGUGUGUGGUUUAGGUAGAGGUGGAUUUAUUUUCUUAACUUGACACCCUGUGUUUUUUGGGUUGUCACGUUGUUGUCCGCGCCCUGUAUUGUUGGGCUUAUCAUUUUGUGUGCCGAAGUAAAGAGCACUUUUCCCCAGUGGAACUCUCUGCGUCUGAUUCCUUCACCCACCUAGUCCCGCGUGACAAUACUUAAGUCUUCCGAAUAAUAAUGGGAUAUUGGUGUGCACUAAAAACUGCUAUGGUGAAAGCCCUUCUGAAGAAAAGUCAUCUAGAUUCUUCAGCUUUUAGCAAUUUAUGGCCAACGAUCCAUUCUUAAGCAAAAUUCUGGAGAAAUUGGUGUUCAAACAGCUAAAUUAUUUUUUAAGUGACAACAGUAUUUUUAAAAAAUUUAAAAAUCCAAUCUGGUUAUCGUGCCCAGCACAGGGACAGCCUUAGUUAAGGUAGUAAAUGAUUAUAGAGCCAACACAGAUGCCAAACAGCUCUCUGUCCUUGUACUGUUAGAUUUAAUUGCUGCAUUCGACACUGUUGACCAUGAUGUCUUUCUAGACAGACUGGAGAGGUGGGUUGGCCUCUCCGGUUCUAAAUUGGUUUUAGACCUAUUUAACUGGUCAAGUUUUUUGUGACCCUUGGUGAACAUAACUCAGAGAAAAUACAUAUCACAUGUGGUGUUCCACAAGUUUCGAUUUUGGGUCCGGUACUGUUCAGUUUAUAUAUGUUACCCCUUGGCAGCAUUAUCAGAAAGCACAGCAUUGAUUUUCAAUGCUACGCAGACGAUACACACAUUUACAUUUCUGUGUCACCAGAGGAUUUUAGAUCCACUGAAAAAUUAUUAGAUUGUAUUAGUGAUUUAAAUACUUGGUUGGCUCAUAACUUCCUCCAGUUAAAGACCAAUGUAUUUAUUGUUGGAGCCAAAGCAUAGAGAGAGAAUCUAGCCGCACAUUUGAAUUCACAGGCAAUAAAUAUAAAACACCAGGUAAAAAACCUUGGUGUUAUUUUCAAUUAUGGACUACAUUGAGUCACACAUUAGGAAUGUGACCAAAAUAGCUUUUUACCACCUGAGGAACAUUGCCAAGAUGAGGCCGUUUCUCUGUCUGAUACAGAGAGACUCAUCCAUGCUUUUAUUACAAGUAGGCUUGACUUCUGUAAUGCUCUCCUGUCUGGUCUACCCAAGAAAGCCAUUGGUCAACUACACAACAUACAGAAUGCUGCAGCAUGGGUACUGACCAAGACCAGACUGAGAGCACACAUUACACCAGUUUAAAGGUCUCUGUACUGUAAAACAUACAGAAUGCUGCAGCAUGGGUACUGACCAAGACCAGAGAGCACACAUUACACCAGUUUAAAGGUCUCUGUACUGUAAAACAUACAGAAUGCUGCAGCAUGGGUACUGACCAAGACCAGACUGAGAGCAGGCAUUACACCGGUUUAAAGGUCUCUGUACUGUAAAACAUACAGAAUGCUGCAGCAUGGGUACUGACCAAGACCAGAGAGCACACAUUACACCAGUUUAAAGGUCUCUGUACUGUAAAACAUACAGAAUGCUGCAGCAUGGGUACUGACCAAGACCAGAGAGCACACAUUACACCAGUUUAAAGGUCUCUGUACUGUAAAACAUACAGAAUGCUGCAGCAUGGGUACUGACCAAGACCAGAGAGCACACAUUACACCAGUUUAAAGGUCUCUGUACUGUAAAACAUACAGAAUGCUGCAGCAUGGGUACUGACCAAGACCAGAGAGCACACAUUACACCGGUUUAAAGGUCUCUGUACUGUAAAACAUACAGAAUGCUGCAGCAUGGGUACUGACCAAGACCAGAGAGCACACAUUACACCGGUUUAAAGGUCUCUGUACUGUAAAACAUACAGAAUGCUGCAGCAUGGGUACUGAC